RNAcentral lists this ribosomal RNA (498 nucleotides) under Stenodactylus mauritanicus. RNAcentral describes it as "partial 16S ribosomal RNA". It matches the Rfam family "Bacterial large subunit ribosomal RNA", at positions 1840 to 2592 of the family's 2925-position model. The record is from RNAcentral. Lineage: Eukaryota; Metazoa; Chordata; Lepidosauria; Squamata; Gekkonidae.
CAAGUAUUAAAGGUCCUGCCUGCCCAGUGAUAACACAUUCAACGGCCGCGGUAUCCUGACCGUGCAAAGGUAGCGUAAUCACUUGCCCCCUAAUUAGAGGCCCGUAUGAACGGCUAAAUGAGGGCCCGCCUGUCUCUUGUGACAUAAUAAUGAAACUGAUCUCCUAGUACAAAAGCUAGAAUAUACACAUAAGACGAGAAGACCCUGUGGAGCUUUCAAACACCGUUGCUACACCAACAUGCACUAGCAACACUUUUUAGUUGGGGCAACUACGGAGAAAACAAAACCUCCAUGCUAACAACUAACACUAAACCUAGGCCCACAAGCUAAAACCAAAAAGACCCAGCACAGCUGACCACCGGACCAAGUUACCCCAGGGAUAACAGCGCCAUCCUCUUCCAGAGCCCCUAUCGCAAAGAGGGCUUACGACCUCGAUGUUGGAUCAGGACACCCCAGUGGCGAAGCCGCUACUAAAGGCCCGUUUGUUCAACGGUUAAU